Molecule: ribosomal RNA, 385 nt
Filed under: uncultured bacterium
Lineage: Bacteria
Description: bacterial SSU rRNA
Rfam family: Bacterial small subunit ribosomal RNA
Source: RNAcentral
GAUGAACGCUAGCGGCAGGCUUAACACAUGCAAGUCGAGGGGUAGAGUUCUUCGGAACUUGAGACCGGCGCACGGGUGCGUAACGCGUAUGCAAUCUACCUUUUACAGAGGGAUAGCCCAGAGAAAUUUGGAUUAAUACCUCAUAGUAUUAUGACUCGGCAUCGAGAUAUAAUUAAAGUCACAACGGUAAAGAUGAGCAUGCGUCCCAUUAGCUAGUUGGUAAGUAACGGCUUACCAAGGCUACGAUGGGUAGGGGUCCUGAGAGGGAGAUCCCCCANACUGGUACUGAGACACGGACCAGACUCCUACGGGAGCAGCAGUGAGGAAUAUUGGACAAUGGGCNCAAGCCUGAUCCAGCCAUGCCGNGUGCAGGAUGACGGUCCUA